This 468-nucleotide ribosomal RNA is filed under the name Veillonella dispar. RNAcentral's name for it is "bacterial SSU rRNA". It matches the Rfam family "Bacterial small subunit ribosomal RNA", at positions 28 to 469 of the family's 1533-position model. The record is from RNAcentral. Lineage: Bacteria; Bacillati; Bacillota; Negativicutes; Veillonellales; Veillonellaceae.
GACGAACGCUGGCGGCGUGCUUAACACAUGCAAGUCGAACGAAGAGCGACGGAAGCUUGCUUCCAUCAAUCUUAGUGGCGAACGGGUGAGUAACGCGUAAUCAACCUGCCCUUCAGAGGGGGACAACAGUUGGAAACGACUGCUAAUACCGCAUACGAUCUGACCUCGGCAUCGAGGAUAGAUGAAAGGUGGCCUCUAUUUAUAAGCCAUCACUGAAGGAGGGGAUUGCGUCUGAUUAGCUAGUUGGAGGGGUAACGGCCCACCAAGGCGAUGAUCAGUAGCCGGUCUGAGAGGAUGAACGGCCACAUUGGGACUGAGACACGGCCCAGACUCCUACGGGAGGCAGCAGGGGGAAUCUUCCGCAAUGGACGAAAGUCUGACGGAGCAACGCCGCGUGAGUGAUGACGGCCUUCGGGUUGUAAAGCUCUGUUAAUCGGGACGAAAGGCCUUCUUGCGAAUAGUCAGGAG